GUCGAGAAUUUUUCUCAAUGGGGGAAACCCUGAAGGAGCGACGCCGCGUGGAGGAUGAAGGUCUUCGGGUUGUAAACUCCUGUCAUUUGGGAACAAUGCGCAAAUAUUAACUGUAUUUGCGUUGAUAGUACCAGAAGAGGAAGAGACGGCUAACUCUGUGCCAGCAGCCGCGGUAAUACAGAGGUCUCAAGCGUUGUUCGGAUUCAUUGGGCGUAAAGGGUGCGUAGGCGGCGUGGUAAGUCGGAUGUGAAAUCUCGGAGCUUAACUCCGAAACUGCAUUCGAUACUGCCGUGCUUGAGGACUGGAGAGGAGACUGGAAUUUACGGUGUAGCGGUGAAAUGCGUAGAUAUCGUAAGGAAGACCAGUGGCGAAGGCGGGUCUCUGGACAGUUCCUGACGCUGAGGCACGAAGGCCAGGGGAGCAAA
Molecule: ribosomal RNA, 425 nt
Filed under: uncultured bacterium
Lineage: Bacteria
Description: bacterial SSU rRNA
Rfam family: Bacterial small subunit ribosomal RNA
Source: RNAcentral